This is a non-coding RNA of Rhizobium leguminosarum bv. trifolii WSM2304, 121 nucleotides long. Lineage: Bacteria; Pseudomonadati; Pseudomonadota; Alphaproteobacteria; Hyphomicrobiales; Rhizobiaceae. The record is from Rfam.
GAGAUUCGCAGCCGCGCACUCCUCCUCCCAAGCGCGCUGCGAUAAGACUGGCAACACUCCUCCUCCCAGUUGCCAGUCAUCAUAAUGCGCCCGCCGGAUCCUCCCCCGGCGGGCGUUUUAU